RNAcentral lists this long non-coding RNA (1357 nucleotides) under Zea mays. RNAcentral describes it as "long non-coding RNA (ZMAY_LNC003237)". Lineage: Eukaryota; Viridiplantae; Streptophyta; Magnoliopsida; Poales; Poaceae. The record is from RNAcentral.
CGGCUUGUCUAGAGAACUCGCCCGCCGCCACACACAAACGCAAUCGAACGCCACCAGAAAGAGAGGCGACCUGUGAGGGAGUAGAUGUGCCGCCGCGCGGACGAUUUCACCAGCGUCGUGGUCUCGAGCUUGGCAUGAGGGCGGACAUGUCACUUGGACCUCCUGCGACGGAUCAGGUCCAUCCCGUGUGGAGUCAUCGGCCAGGGCAAGACGGAAUCGCUCGUCGGGGCGAACCUGCCACCGUGUGGCCGCUGGUCACCAUGGGCGGGGUCUGUGCUGCAUGUGUACCGGUAGGACAUCCAUCCUCUAGUUCUUCUAUGUCUCAUUUAUGUAUAGCAGUCAUAGGAUCAGAGUUUCGGGCUUAGGUUCGAUGGGUGGCGAGGUCCGGCCAUGGCCUCCACCGUGGGCGCACCAUCUCCGCCGCUCUGGUGGUCGUGAGGUGGAAGGCCGCCCAGGGUCGUUGGAUCCUCGAUGAAGGGUGGAGGUGUGGCGAUAGUUUUGGCCGUUGGAUCAGGAUUGCGCGAUCGCGAUUAGCUAUAGGGCGACAUCUCGGCCAUAGUUCAUCCUGGUCGUGGAUCAGUCAGUGGACGGCUUCGAUUAAAUCGCCUGGUACCCCUUUGACUCAUUAAAUCAUAGCCAUAGAUUGUGAGAUAAACGGUGGAUCCGGUUUCAUUAACUCGGGGCCAACAGAUCUUGAUCCAAUGCUCCUGGUUACCUACCGAUUCAACUUCUAAUCUGGGCGCUUGAUGAGUGAUCUUGCGGCUCAGAUCGUCCAAUACCCCUUCGUCGUGCGCUUCUUUUAAAAGAGACCCUGAGAAAUUGACAAAACAACCCGCCGUCCGUGCCCUGUGUAAAGUAUUUAUAUCUGUGCCCUGGAAAUUCAUAAAACAGCCCCUGAACUCUGUGAUAUUAGUGGCUGCAGUCCUGAACUAGAUAAAAUAGGAUAAUUUCAUAUAGAAAAUAGUUUUUAGUAUAAAAGUAAUUCCAUAAAAUUAUUUAAUUCAUAACUAAUUCAUCUUAAUUCCUUUUUGACCCAUUCCAGUUUCAUUAGAUCUAUAAUAAUAUUAUCUAUCCUUUGGUAGCUUUAUUUCCCAAAGAAACCUAAAUAAGAAUUAUGUACUCAAUCUCUUUUGUACCCAACACUUAAAUCUUCGAAACAUAAUAACUUGAUGACCGUAACUCCGAUUUUAGUGAUUCUCGAGCCCAUGAUCUCGUAGCGACGAGUAGAUCAUUAUUAUGCAGUUUGUGCUUAUGUUUGGUGUGAUGUUAAUUUUGUCUAUACCAUGUUUGUUUGUAUUGCUACGACUAGCGUAAGGUCACGAGUCACCUGAAGAUCAUCCUGGUACCUGGAAUCUCA